Molecule: long non-coding RNA, 121 nt
Organism: Sapajus apella (tufted capuchin)
Lineage: Eukaryota; Metazoa; Chordata; Mammalia; Primates; Cebidae
Exons: 3
Source: RefSeq, a predicted model, not a curated record
UUUUCAUAUGCCUGUUUGUCAUGUGACAUUUCUUUUGAGAAAUGUCUAUUCAGAUCUUUUGCCCAUCUUUAAGCAGAUUAUUAGAUUUAUUCCAAUAGAGUUGUUUUGAAAAUAUUUGCAA